This 974-nucleotide small RNA is filed under the name Pongo abelii (Sumatran orangutan). RNAcentral's name for it is "retained intron". The record is from RNAcentral. Lineage: Eukaryota; Metazoa; Chordata; Mammalia; Primates; Hominidae.
GGCAGGCCUCCUGGGGAGCUGGGAAUGACUCUUGUCCUUUGCCCUAGGAGCUGGGCACCACCCCAUGGGAGGAGAGCACCAAUGACAUCUCCCACUACCUCGGCAUGCUGGACCCCUGGUAUGAGCGCAAUGUACUGGGCCUCAUGCACCUGCCCCCUGAAGUCCUGUGCCAGCAGUCCCUGAAGGCUGAAGCCCAGGCCCUGGAGGGCACCCCCACCCAGCUGCCCAUCCUGGCCGACAUGCUACUAUACUACUGCCGCUUUGCCGCCAGACCGGUGCUGCUGCAAGUCUAUCAGACCGAGCUGACCUUCAUCACUGGGGAGAAGACGACAGAGAUCUUCAUCCACUCCUUGGAGCUGGGUCACUCCGCUGCCACACGUGCCAUCAAGGCGUCGGGUCCUGGCAGCAAGCGGCUGGGCAUCGAUGGCGACCGGGAGGCUGUUCCUCUAACACUACAGAUUAUUUACAGCAAGGGGGCCAUCAGUGGACGAAGCCGCUGGAGCAACCUGGAGAAGGUCUGUACCUCCGUGAACCUCAACAAGGCCUGCCGGAAGCAGGAGGAGCUGGGUGAGUGGCGUGGUCAGGGUGGGGUGGGCAGUAGGGAGGUGCUCUGAGCCUGGCCUGAGUGUCCCUGCCCUUCAGAUUCCAGCAUGGAGGCCCUGACGCUAAACCUGACAGAAGUGGUAAAAAGGCAGAACUCCAAAUCCAAGAAGGGCUUUAACCAGAUUAGCACAUCGCAGAUCAAAGUGGACAAGGUGCAGAUCAUCGGCUCCAACAGCUGCCCCUUUGCUGUAUGCCUGGACCAGGAUGAGAGAAAGAUCCUGCAGAGUGUAGUCAGAUGUGAGGUCUCACCAUGCUACAAGCCGGAGAAGAGCAACCUCUGCUCGCCACCCCAGACGCCUCCUGACCUGCCGGCCCAGGCCGCGCCUGAUCUCUGCUCCCUUCUCUGCCUGCCCAUCAUGACUUUCAGUGGA